GGAAAGUAGCUUAGUUUGGUCAGAGUACCAGCUUGUCACGCCGGUGGUCGCGGGUUCGACUCCCGUCUUUCCC
This 73-nucleotide transfer RNA is filed under the name Nephroselmis pyriformis. It matches the Rfam family "tRNA". From Rfam's summary of the family: Transfer RNA (tRNA) molecules are approximately 80 nucleotides in length. Their secondary structure includes four short double-helical elements and three loops (D, anti-codon, and T loops). Further hydrogen bonds mediate the characteristic L-shaped molecular structure. tRNAs have two regions of fundamental functional importance: the anti-codon, which is responsible for specific mRNA codon recognition, and the 3' end, to which the tRNAs corresponding amino acid is attached (by aminoacyl-tRNA synthetases). tRNAs cope with the degeneracy of the genetic code in two manners: having more than one tRNA (with a specific anti-codon) for a particular amino acid; and 'wobble' base-pairing, i.e. permitting non-standard base-pairing at the 3rd anti-codon position. Lineage: Eukaryota; Viridiplantae; Chlorophyta; Nephroselmidophyceae; Nephroselmidales; Nephroselmidaceae. The record is from RNAcentral.